CAUUGAGAAAGGCAAACUUGUGGAAACAUAAGGACGCAAAGCUAUAGGAGCCUAAGGUCAAGUCUAGACUCGGCUAGCCAGUUACCGUA
This 89-nucleotide non-coding RNA is filed under the name Bacillus manliponensis. RNAcentral's name for it is "c-di-GMP sequence". It matches the Rfam family "c-di-GMP-I riboswitch aptamer". From Rfam's summary of the family: GEMM was predicted in a large-scale screen for bacterial structured RNA regulatory elements. Genes associated with GEMM are involved in a diverse array of functions, including chemotaxis regulation, signal transduction, secretion and chitin. Lineage: Bacteria; Bacillati; Bacillota; Bacilli; Caryophanales; Bacillaceae. The record is from Rfam by way of RNAcentral.